UACGUAGGGUGCGAGCGUUAAUCGGAAUUACUGGGCGUAAAGCGUGCGCAGGCGGUUUUGUAAGCCAGAUGUGAAAGCCCCGGGCUCAACCUGGGAAUGGCAUUGGAAACUGGCUAGCUGGAGUGUGGCAGAGGGGGGUGGAAUUCCGCGUGUAGCAGUGAAAUGCGUAGAGAUGCGGAGGAACACCGAUGGCGAAGGCAGCCCCCUGGGCCAACACUGACGCUCAGGCACGAAAGCGUGGGGAGCAAACAGG
Molecule: ribosomal RNA, 253 nt
Filed under: uncultured bacterium
Lineage: Bacteria
Description: partial 16S ribosomal RNA
Rfam family: Bacterial small subunit ribosomal RNA
Source: RNAcentral